GUUCUGGUGCCAGCAGCCGCGGUAAUUCCAGCUCCAAUAGCGUAUAUUAAAGUUGUUGCAGUUAAAAAGCUCGUAGUCGAUCUUCUAAGAGCAGUACUGGGGAUUUCCCUUCCUAGUACUCGCUCUUAUCUGACCGAAACCUUCUUUCGUGCUUCACUGUUACGAUGGAGUAAAUCGGUCACUUUACUGAGAAAAAAUUAGAGUGUUCAAAGCAGGCACUGUGCCUUGAAUACACAAGCUUGGAAUAAUAGAAUACGACUAAAGUCUUUUUGUUGGUUUAGAGGCUUUGGUAAUGGUUAAUAGAAACAGUUGGGGGCAUUAGUAUCUAAUUGUCAGAGGUGAAAUUCUUGGAUUUAUUAGAGACUAACCUAUGCGAAAGCAUUUGCCAAGGAUGUUUUCAAUUGAUCAAGAACGAAAGUUAGGGGAUCAAAGACGAUCAGAUACCGUCCUAGUCUUAACUAUAAACGAUUCCGACUAUGGAUUGGGAGGAGUCUUGUUAACUCUCUCAGCACAUUAUGAGAAAUCAUAAGUCUUUGGGCUCCGGGGGAAGUAUGGACACAAGUCUGAAACUUAAAGGAAUUGACGGAAAGGCACACAAGGAGUGGAGCCUGCGGCUUAAUUUGACCCAACACGGGGAAACUUACCAGGGCAAGACAUGGGUGGGAUUGACAGAAAUGAGAGCUCUUUCUUGAUUCUAUGGGUGGUGGUGCAUGGCCGUUCUUAGUUGGUGGAGUGAUUUGUCUGGUUAAUUCCGUUAACGAACGAGACCUUAACCUGCUAAAUAGGAGCCCGAUUCUUAAUCGAGUAUCCUUCUUAGAGGGACUAUGUGCGCAAGCACAUGGAAGUUUAAGGCAAUAACAGGUCUGUGAUGCCCCUAGACGUCCUGGGCCGCACGUGCGCUACAAUGAUACAAGCAACGAGUAUUUCCUGCUCCGACAGGAGUCGGGUAAUCUUUAUAGUUUGUAUCGUGCUUGGGAUUGUCCUUUGUAAUUAUAGGACAUGAACUAGGAAUUCCUGGUAUAGGCAUGUCAUCAGCAUGCCUAGAUUAAGUCCCUGCCUUUUGUACACACCGCCCGUCGCUCCUACUAAUUGAGAGAUUAAGUGAACCUUCUGGAGUUUGAGAUGACUCUUAGUCUUCUCUGCGAAGUUAAGUAAACUAUUAUCUCUUAGAAGAAGGAGAAGUCGUAACAAGGUU
This 1195-nucleotide ribosomal RNA is filed under the name metagenome. Its description in RNAcentral is "SSU rRNA". It matches the Rfam family "Eukaryotic small subunit ribosomal RNA", at positions 558 to 1801 of the family's 1831-position model. The record is from RNAcentral.